GGGUGCGACCAUACCAGCACUAAUGCACCGGAUCCCAUCAGAACUCCGAAGUUAAACGUGCUUGGGCGAGAGUAGUACUAAGAUGGGUGACCUCUUAGGAAGUCCUCGUGUUGCAUCCC
This 119-nucleotide ribosomal RNA is filed under the name Ricinus communis (castor bean). Lineage: Eukaryota; Viridiplantae; Streptophyta; Magnoliopsida; Malpighiales; Euphorbiaceae. The record is from RNAcentral.